RNAcentral lists this long non-coding RNA (1787 nucleotides) under Lathyrus oleraceus (garden pea). Its description in RNAcentral is "Pisum sativum (pea) long non-coding RNA (PSAT_LNC030373)". The record is from RNAcentral. Lineage: Eukaryota; Viridiplantae; Streptophyta; Magnoliopsida; Fabales; Fabaceae.
UUUCAUACAUCCAACGCCAUGAACCAAGUCCACUCAAGUAAGCUACAAGUGAACGCGCUUCAAUAACCAUUUCGUAUCUCCGGCGUCGCAUCUGCGUUUCAAGCUCUGAAUCCACACGCGGCGAACCAUACGACGGUCAACGCUCAUCAAAUCACGUUUCAAAUUCGUCAUCACUAACUCCCUUUAAGACUGUGACCACACAUACAUGAAAAUGGAAAAACAACAUUGAGAAUCGAUUGAAGAACUCACCGGACCGAAGUCGCGAUGUAGUGGCUUGACGAAAACGAAGUCGACAAAAAGAGCUCAGAGCUUUCCUCCUCUUCUUCGCGCAAGUGUUUUCUUCUUCGAGCAUGAAUUCAACACGAAAACCAGAUGAAGAAAAAGGGCUCCAAAUCGCGUCAAUCGUAACGAAUUUUUUACGCACCAGGUAUUGAAUCUUCACCCUACUUGAUUCGCUUCCUUCUUCCUCUUCUCGACUCUGCUACCGUUGUGUUAUUGCUUUUCGAUUGAAUCAUGGAUGUGAACUGUUGCGCGAGAGUGAUGAGAGAUUGAGAAGCUCAGAGAGAUGGAGAAUUUUAGAGUGAAAUUGAAAAAUGAAAUUGCAGAGAGUGGGAGAGAAAUUGAUUGAAUUCCCAAUUGAUGAUGAGUGAUGUGAAUUUAUAGAGUUGAUUUAUGUUAUGAAAUUCAUUCUAAAUGUAAACGAAAUUUACCUGAAAUGCAUAAGUCGGUUAGAAAUGAAAAGUUCUGUUAGAACAAGUUUAGUUUCAGUUAAUCAGUUUUUGUGGUUUUGAUUCUCUGUGUAUUGUGUUAGAUUAAUUACUGUGGAGCUCCAUUUUGUGUUAUGCAGGGUUCCUGUUAGUGUGUUUAGAGUUACUUAUGCUUAAAAGUUAUUGGUGUUUAGCAAAUGGUUAACAUAAUUAACGGCUGGGUGGUGACUAAACGGUGCAUAGAUUAAUGGUUGAGCUGAAAUUGGAUGGGAUUAAUUGUCUUUGGCCCUCCCUCUCUUUUCUUUUGAACUUGUAUUUUCCUCAAGCCAUCCCUGAAUGCGCGUCUGAACUGUGUUGUGUUACAUGACUUGUGUGACUUGCUCAUUAUUGGCCUUAAAUAUGGUAGAAUAGCCCGACUCUUGAAUUAACGGUUUAUGUCUUUGCAGGGAACAUAUGUGUAUAGAAUGCUAGACUACAUCAUGCAUAUUAGCUUCUUGUGAACAAAUAGGUACUUGUAACUGUGUGGCACUUGUUAUUGACAAUGCUUUUGAUGGUUUGUGAUUUUGAUGUGAUGAUAUUUAGCUCACGAUUUGAAAUGUUUGGCGUGAUUCUGCAGAUUCUUUGAAGGCAUAUGAAGUCAAGGCAAGAUGAUGGCAAUAUUGAAUCAUAAUGAGGCUGUACUCUAAAGGGAGUAUAUCUUAGGGAAGGGUUUUGACCUUGGUCAACUUGUGUGUUUAAAGGAAAAAUUUGUGUAAUACUUGACGAUGCAAUUGCAAUUAUAUAUGGAUGUGAUGGACUUGAAACAUAUAUUGAGAUGGUCUCUUUCGGAAAAAGCUUGAAAUUGAAAUGGAAAAUGUUUGGAUUAAUGGUUGUAAUAGAAAUGGAUUGAUGAAAUUGUAUUGAAUAUUGUAAUGUGGUUGAAUGUAAAUGAAUGUAAAUGAUUGGAAUAUUGUAAUGUGAAUUGAAGAUGAAUGUAAUUGUAAUGGAGAUGUGUAAUUUUAUUAUAUGGAAAUUGAAUUGACUUUGAAUUUUUUUUAAAAGAAAAUAUUCAUUAUAUGAAUGAAUGGGAUUAUGAUUGAA